UGGGCUGUAGCUCAGAGGUGGAGCAAUUGCUUAGCAUGCACAAGGCCCUGGGUUGUAUCCCCAGCACCACAA
This 72-nucleotide transfer RNA is filed under the name Fukomys damarensis (Damara mole-rat). It matches the Rfam family "tRNA". Rfam says of the family: Transfer RNA (tRNA) molecules are approximately 80 nucleotides in length. Their secondary structure includes four short double-helical elements and three loops (D, anti-codon, and T loops). Further hydrogen bonds mediate the characteristic L-shaped molecular structure. tRNAs have two regions of fundamental functional importance: the anti-codon, which is responsible for specific mRNA codon recognition, and the 3' end, to which the tRNAs corresponding amino acid is attached (by aminoacyl-tRNA synthetases). tRNAs cope with the degeneracy of the genetic code in two manners: having more than one tRNA (with a specific anti-codon) for a particular amino acid; and 'wobble' base-pairing, i.e. permitting non-standard base-pairing at the 3rd anti-codon position. Lineage: Eukaryota; Metazoa; Chordata; Mammalia; Rodentia; Bathyergidae. The record is from Rfam by way of RNAcentral.